AUAAGAUCCUUGUAAAAUAGGUCACCAAAGGCACGGCUUUCCCAAUUAUCAAAAAGUAAUUUCCAGUGACUAUGGAAACGAAUAAGAAAAUCAAUAAACAAAGACAGAAGGGAAAAAAGGUGGACGUAUAAAAUACCAAAUAGCUCAGACGUAUCCUGCUACGACAUAGUGUCAUAUUAAACCGCAAUAUUUUAUUCAUGCUGAAAGCGGACGUUUGGAAUGACCUCCAUAUAUUCAUUCUCCAAAGCAGUCUAUUCGCCUAACGUUUUUUUUUUUUUCUAUCUCUCUUUCUAUUUUCUAUCUCGUUCUCUUUGGUUACAGCGAAGGUCGUAACUAUAAAGCCCAGAGACGAUUCCGCCGUCACGUAGAUGAUGCGAGAAUCACAGCCGGAGGCGGCACCCUGAAGUUUCCACCGGAAGUUAGGCGACAACCCGCCUACAGCCCGAGCAAGCUAGAAACACCUAGCUCAACAUGAACUCGUGAAGCUCGAUCAUGGACAUGGCACGUAUGACGACGAUAGUACAAGCACGACGUCACUACGAAUGGAAUGACAACGGUGGCAUGAUGGCGAUGACAUUACAACAAACAGCAUGAUUACACUGGAAUCACUAGGAGAAAAUGAAAACGAUGGAACGACCAUAACGGCAUGACGACUGCCUGACGGUUAUGACAACAAUGGCAUAAAGACGAAGAUGUUGCGAUGACGGCAUGACGACCAUGAGUGGCGACGCCCGGUGUAACGACGAUGCCGUGAAGACGACGCCGUGACGACCAGACUUAAGUCUGGUGACGACAAUAACGUGAUGCCGAUGCCGGAAUGAUUGCUUUGGUAUGACGUCGACGGCGUGAUGAUGGAAUGAAGCAGCUGUAAUGACAACAAUGGGAUGACGCAUUCGCAAGAACAAUGACGCAGUUACGACGAAAGUCAUGACUACAAAGGCACGACUGAUGAAAAUGGGAAAACGCGUCACACUACGAUGAGAGACGCGCAGCGAAUUCCGGGAACAAAUACCUUCCGUACCUUCUUUAUUCGUCGUCAACUAGAAGAUACGCGCGCUCAGACUUUUUAUAAGGAAACUUUAAGCGCUAGCUUGCACGAGUUUAUUCUGCCUUUUCAGGUAUGUGAUCGUGGUCUAAUGAGUAGAGCAUUAAGUUUCUGUGCUGGGGACCAGGGUUAGAAAUUGACCAUCGGA
Long non-coding RNA from Dermacentor silvarum, 1193 nucleotides. RefSeq lists it as uncharacterized. The transcript is spliced from 3 exons. Lineage: Eukaryota; Metazoa; Arthropoda; Arachnida; Ixodida; Ixodidae. The record is from RefSeq and is a predicted model, not a curated record.